AGUGAACGCUGGCGGUAGGCCUAACACAUGCAAGUCGAACGGCAGCACAGUAAGAGCUUGCUCUUACGGGUGGCGAGUGGCGGACGGGUGAGGAAUACAUCGGAAUCUACUUUUUCGUGGGGGAUAACGUAGGGAAACUUACGCUAAUACCGCAUACGACCUACGGGUGAAGGCAGGGGAUCUUCGGACCUUGCGCGAUUGAAUGAGCCGAUGUCGGAUUAGCUAGUUGGCGGGGUAAAGGCCCACCAAGGCGACGAUCCGUAGCUGGUCUGAGAGGAUGAUCAGCCACACUGGAACUGAGACACGGUCCAGACUCCUACGGGAGGCAGCAGUGGGGAAUAUUGGACAAUGGGCGCAAGCCUGAUCCAGCCAUACCGCGUGGGUGAAGAAGGCCUUCGGGUUGUAAAGCCCUUUUGUUGGGAAAGAAAAGCAGCAGGUUAAUACCCCGCUGUUCCGACGGUACCCAAAGAAUAAGCACCGGCUAACUUCGUG
This 492-nucleotide ribosomal RNA is filed under the name uncultured bacterium. RNAcentral's name for it is "partial 16S ribosomal RNA". It matches the Rfam family "Bacterial small subunit ribosomal RNA", at positions 29 to 507 of the family's 1533-position model. The record is from RNAcentral.